This 143-nucleotide unclassified non-coding RNA is filed under the name Saccharicrinis carchari. Its description in RNAcentral is "Flavo-1 RNA". Lineage: Bacteria; Pseudomonadati; Bacteroidota; Bacteroidia; Marinilabiliales; Marinilabiliaceae. The record is from RNAcentral.
AUGAAGCGCGUUAGGGAUUGAAGCGGAAAGCCCGUAGCCCGGUAAGGUUAACAACUAUAUGAAGCCAUUUACCCGAAGUAUAACGCGACUUUUUAUUUUUGAAAAGCAUUAGCGAGGACUUGCAGCGAAAAGCCCGACCCGAU